CAAUGAAAACAUGGAUCUUGUGGUUUAUAUCUAAUACUACUUUUUCUAACUCCAGACUUUGUAGGUAAGGAGUUAAUGUCUUUGUUCUUCCUGCAAAAAUUAGCAAGAUGAUUAGUAUUUCCACAGUUAUGGCAUGUCUUCCUAGGUGCAUUUGGAGCAGGUAUGUAGUUAUUACUCUUGUUUAUUCCAACCUUGCCAUUUCUAUUUUUCCUAGGCUCCUUGUCUUUGCUAUCAGACUUUAAUUCUUUAAGCUUAUGCUUAAGCUGUUUCUGAGUCAUCAGUCCUAUGUUAACCUGUUUGGGC
RNAcentral lists this long non-coding RNA (303 nucleotides) under Daucus carota (carrot). RNAcentral describes it as "long non-coding RNA (DCAR_LNC006566)". The record is from RNAcentral. Lineage: Eukaryota; Viridiplantae; Streptophyta; Magnoliopsida; Apiales; Apiaceae.